UAGUCAUAUGCUUGUCUCAAAGAUUAAGCCAUGCAUGUCUAAGUAUAAGCAAUCUAUACGGUGAAACUGCGAAUGGCUCAUUAAAUCAGUUAUCGUUUAUUUGAUAGUACCUUACUACUUGGAUAACCGUGGUAAUUCUAGAGCUAAUACAUGCUAAAAACCCCGACUUCGGAAGGGGUGUAUUUAUUAGAUAAAAAACCAAUGCCCUUCGGGGCUCCUUGGUGAUUCAUAAUAACUUAACGAAUCGCAUGGCCUUGUGCCGGCGAUGGUUCAUUCAAAUUUCUGCCCUAUCAACUUUCGAUUGUAAGGUAGUGGCUUACAAUGGUUUCAACGGGUAGCGGGGAAUUAGGGUUCUAUUCCGGAGAGGGAGCCUGAGAAACGGCUACCACAUCCAAGGAAGGCAGCAGGCGCGCAAAUUACCCAAUCCCGACACGGGGAGGUAGUGACAAUAAAUACUGAUACAGGGCUCUUUUGGGUCUUGUAAUUGGAAUGAGUACAAUUUAAAUCCCUU
This 511-nucleotide ribosomal RNA is filed under the name uncultured eukaryote. RNAcentral's name for it is "SSU rRNA". It matches the Rfam family "Eukaryotic small subunit ribosomal RNA", at positions 21 to 535 of the family's 1831-position model. The record is from RNAcentral.